AUUUAUUAAGUGCAAUAGAAAUAUUAUUUCUAUUAUUUACUUGAAGUCGUGAUUAAUUUUCGACUUAUAAAACGAGUUAUAUAAUAUGUAAUUCGUAGAGAGUUAUAACGAAGCUUCGUUAUAUGGGAACCCGAAAUUAGUAUUACAAAUACAGAAUGAGGAUUUUAUAAUAAUUACAUCACAACUUUACAACUUAUUAUUCCCUACAUCCCUAUUUCAUACCUACUUCAUCAAGAAGGCAAACCAAACGUGUACUAGGUGUGUGCAGAAUAGCUUUACAGCAAUUUUACCACCUAGAGAGUUUUUUUUUAAGCCACCCUACGACAGCACCAUCCACUCCACCAAACUUCCCACCACUCUUUGCUCCCCACCAUCUUCAAUUCUUUAAGACUACUAGUUCCUUCAACCACCAAAGGGAGGAGAAUUCAAUUACUGCUGCCAAACUUCGAACAGGUAAGGUUUGGUUUAAGUUUUUCCACCAGUCCAUUCUUGAUUCCUCUGCAUAUGUCAAUAAGCAUCUGAAAAUUUCAGCUAUCUCCUCAUUAAAUUCAAUAGCAACAAACAGCCACCAACAACAAGCAAUUACAGGUCAAGCACGAGAGUAAGAACUAUUCAAGGAGUCACAGUACCUUAGCAAAACUUUGCUAUCAGGUUGAGCUGUGAUGGGCGAUGAAGUGUUGCUGAGUGGAGUUUUUGUCGAACUUAAAGUAGGCUCAGAAAGGAUACAUGUCUUCAUACAUGUAUCUCAGUUAUGCAUUCCGCUGUAAACACUGAUUAUUUCAGUUACACCUUCCGUUGCAAACUCUGAUAAUGUUUUAGCCAAGCCCCUAAAAAUGCCUUUUUCCUUUUUAAGGAAUAUAACGCGUAUACAA
Long non-coding RNA from Salvia miltiorrhiza (redroot sage), 872 nucleotides. RefSeq lists it as uncharacterized. The transcript has 3 exons. Lineage: Eukaryota; Viridiplantae; Streptophyta; Magnoliopsida; Lamiales; Lamiaceae. The record is from RefSeq and is a predicted model, not a curated record.